Molecule: ribosomal RNA, 468 nt
Filed under: uncultured bacterium
Lineage: Bacteria
Description: partial 16S ribosomal RNA
Rfam family: Bacterial small subunit ribosomal RNA
Source: RNAcentral
GACGAACGCUGGCGGCGUGCUUAACACAUGCAAGUCGAACGGUGAUGCUCCAGCUUGCUGGAGUGGAUCAGUGGCGAACGGGUGAGUAACACGUGAGCAACCUGCCCCAGACUCUGGAAUAAGCGCUGGAAACGGCGUCUAAUACUGGAUACGAAACUGGCCCGCAUGGGCAUGGUUUGGAAAGUUUUUCGGUUUGGGAUGGGCUCGCGGCCUAUCAGCUUGUUGGUGAGGUAAUGGCUCACCAAGGCGACGACGGGUAGCCGGCCUGAGAGGGCGACCGGCCACACUGGGACUGAGACACGGCCCAGACUCCUACGGGAGGCAGCAGUGGGGAAUAUUGCACAAUGGGCGAAAGCCUGAUGCAGCGACGCCGCGUGAGGGAUAACGGCCUUCGGGUUGUAAACCUCUUUCAGCAGGGAAGAAGCGAAAGUGACGGUACCUGCAGAAGAAGCACCGGCUAACUACGUG